UACGGAGGGUGCAAGCGUUAUCCGGAUUCACUGGGUUCAAAGGGUGCGUAGGCGGGUUGGUAAGUCCGUGGUGAAAUCUCCAAGCUUAACUUGGAAACUGCCGUGGAUACUAUCAAUCUUGAAUAUCGUGGAGGUAAGCGGAAUAUGUCAUGUAGCGGUGAAAUGCUUAGAUAUGACAUAGAACACCAAUUGCGUAGGCAGCUUACUACACGAUCAUUGACGCUGAGGCACGAAAGCGUGGGGAGCAAACAGG
Molecule: ribosomal RNA, 253 nt
Filed under: uncultured bacterium
Lineage: Bacteria
Description: partial 16S ribosomal RNA
Rfam family: Bacterial small subunit ribosomal RNA
Source: RNAcentral